Molecule: ribosomal RNA, 440 nt
Filed under: uncultured bacterium
Lineage: Bacteria
Description: partial 16S ribosomal RNA
Rfam family: Bacterial small subunit ribosomal RNA
Source: RNAcentral
CCUACGGGAGGCAGCAGUGGUGAAUAUUGCACAAUGGGGGAAACCCUGAUGCAGCGACGCCGCGUGAGUGAAGAAGGAUUUCGGUAUGUAAAGCUCUAUCAGCAGGGAAGCAAAUGACAGUACCUGACCAAGCAGCCCCGGCUAACUACGUGCCAGCAGCCGCGGUAAUACGUAGGGGGCAAGCGUUAUCCGGAUUUACUGGGUGUAAAGGGAGCGUAGACGGGUAUGUAAGUCUGGAGUGAAAGCCCGGGGCCCAAACCCGUGACCGCUUUGGAAACUGUGUAACUGGAGUACAGGAGGGGCAGGCGGAAUGCCUGGUGUAGCGGUGAAAUGCGUAGAUAUCAGGAGGAACCCCGGUGGCGAAGGCGGCCUGCUGGACUGAAACUGACGUUGAGGCUCGAAAGCGUGGGGAGCAAACAGGAUUAGAUACCCGUGUAGUC